GACCCUGUCUUAAAAAAAAAUUAAAAGGGUUGGUGAUGUAGUUCAAUGCGAAGGCUCUGGGUGCGUCAAUUCCCAGUAACGCACACACACACAGACACUCACUGCUGACUUGGAUAAGAAAGGCUCACUGACUUGACUCAUCUCCCUUAGUGAUCAUCCCUACUCAGGAGUUAACGUUUCUUCCCUUCCAGCGGUCUGUUCACGCCUCCCCGUCUUAAGCGAAUCAUAAGCGGCUGUGUCCAGGGAAGCGUGUCCCGCGCGGCCUACCGUAGCGCCUCCCUCCCCCCCUCCCCGUUCCGGGCGGACAUGGCCGCCCCCGAGUCCAGUCCUGCUUUGAGUCCUGGUAUUGCCGAGGGCGAGGAGGAGACGAUUCUCUACGACUUGUUAGUCAACACCGAGUGGCCUCCGGAGAUAGAAGUGCAGCCUUGAGGUAACCGAAAACAAGGUGCAUCGUUUAUCAUCACGAAAGCAAUCAGAGCAGGCGGUGAAACCACUGAGCUAAAUCCUCGGCCCUAGCUUUGAACCCCAGAUCAUGAUAUAGAUGCUGACAUUCAGGGAUCGAACUCGGGUCCUUGCGCUUGUGCAGCAGGCAUCGAAACCACUGAGCUAAAUCCCCGGCCCAGCCCUGCACCUUUUUUGCUCCCUGAUGGCCUGGUCUGCUUGGUGAAUAAACAGAUAAACUGGCAUUUGGUACUUGCAAGUACCGGGGAUCGAACUCAGGUCCUUGUGCUUGCACAGCAGGCAGCGAAACCACUGAGCUAAAUCCCCAGCCCGAUCCUGGAUGAAUUCUUUGUUGCAUAUGAUCAGUAUUGCCUAGAGAUGUUUAUUCAAACUAUAGUGAAGCUGUCGGUUUAGCUUCAUGAAUUUUUAUAUUCUACCUUUUUUGCAUGAGAAUGGUUGUUUUGUAUUCCUGGAAAAUUUCUCCCUUUCUCAUUGUGCAAUGUCUUUCUUGGUUUACUAUCAUAUCUUUUAUCUCGGAGGCUGCCUUUUCUCAUAUUAAUACAUUUACACCAAUUUUCUUAUGAUUAAACUUUGCAUGUUGUAACUUUUUCAUUUCUUGUACUCAACUUAUCUGUCUAUAUUUCAGAUGUAUACCUUCUAUAAGUCAGAUGUUAUUACUGCUUUUUCAAAAUGAUUUUGUGUUGAAAUGAUUAUGGACUCACAGGUACUUGAGGAAUGAGAUGUUCCAUGCACUCCUUACCCAGCUUCACCCAAUGUUGGCCGUUUGCAGAAAUAAUAGGGUGAUAUUAAAACCAGGAAAUGGACUUCUUCACCAGCAGUAUAUGACAGGCCUGAAUUCUUGUCAUCCACUCUUGUGUUAGGUCACUGGGAUUUUUCAUGUUAGCAAUUCAAGUAGGUUCGGGUGAUAUAGCAUUGUGGUUUUAAAUUGUAUUUCUCUAAUGGCUAACUACGGUGAAUAUCAUCUCUUUUUUCUAAGGGUUUCACAGGGUCACUAAGUUGCCAGACUGCACUGGAACUUGUGAUUCUCCUGCCUCAGUCUCUCUCCAGAGUUACCCGAUGACAGGCCUGCUCCACUACACCCAGGCCCAACAUAUUUUUAUUUGCC
Heterocephalus glaber (naked mole-rat) is the source of this 1567-nucleotide RNA transcript. It is a transcript of the gene named centromere protein I pseudogene, with no coding region annotated. Lineage: Eukaryota; Metazoa; Chordata; Mammalia; Rodentia; Bathyergidae. The record is from RefSeq and is a predicted model, not a curated record.